RNAcentral lists this ribosomal RNA (433 nucleotides) under uncultured bacterium. RNAcentral's name for it is "partial 16S ribosomal RNA". It matches the Rfam family "Bacterial small subunit ribosomal RNA", at positions 29 to 507 of the family's 1533-position model. The record is from RNAcentral.
AACGAACGCUGGCGGCAUGCCUAACACAUGCAAGUCGAACGAGACCUUCGGGUCUAGUGGCGCACGGGUGCGUAACGCGUGGGAACCUGCCCUUAGGUUCGGAAUAACUCCCCGAAAGGGGUGCUAAUACCGGAUAAUGUCUUCGGACCAAAGAUUUAUCGCCUUUGGAUGGGCCCGCGUUGGAUUAGCUAGUUGGUAGGGUAAAAGCCUACAAAGGCGACGAUCCAUAGCUGGUCUGAGAGGAUGAUCAGCCACACUGGGACUGAGACACGGCCCAGACUCCUACGGGAGGCAGCAGUGGGGAAUAUUGGACAAUGGGCGAAAGCCUGAUCCAGCAAUGCCGCGUGAGUGAUGAAGGCCUUAGGGUUGUAAAGCCCUUUUACCCGGGAUGAUAAUGACAGUACCGGGAGAAUAAGCUCCGGCUAACUCCGUG